This 394-nucleotide ribosomal RNA is filed under the name uncultured bacterium. Its description in RNAcentral is "partial 16S ribosomal RNA". It matches the Rfam family "Bacterial small subunit ribosomal RNA", at positions 523 to 917 of the family's 1533-position model. The record is from RNAcentral.
AUACGUAGGGUGCAAGCGUUAAUCGGAAUUACUGGGCGUAAAGCGUGCGCAGGCGGUUUUGUAAGACAGAGGUGAAAUCCCCGGGCUCAACCUGGGGACUGCCUUUGUGACUGCAAGGCUAGAGUACGGCAGAGGGGGAUGGAAUUCCGCGUGUAGACGGGGAAUGCGUAGAUAUGCGGAGGAACACCGAUGGCGAAGGCAAUCCCCUGGGCCUGUACUGACGCUCAUGCUCGAAAGCGUGGGGAGCAAACAGGAUUAGAUACCCUGGUAGUCCACGCCCUAAACGAUGUCAACUGGUUGUUGGGUCUUCAUUGACUCAGUAACGAAGCUAACGCGUGAAGUUGACCGCCUGGGGAGUACGGCCGCAAGGUUGAAACUCAAAUGAAUUGACGGG